AUGGAGGAAUUUUGUCAACAUGAGCACAUCCGGCUUGAUAUAGUGUCAGUGGCUCACCCCCAGUCUAAUGGUCAAGCUGAGAGGGCAAAUCAAGAAAUUUUGAAAGGUAUCAAACCCCGGCUUAUGGUUCCUUUAAAGCGGACACCGAGUUGUUGGGUGGAGGAGUUACCUUCUGUGUUAUGGAGUAUCAACACCACACCAAACAGAUCGACGGGUUAUACACCUUUCUUCAUGGUUUAUGGAGCAGAGGCCGUUCUUUCUAGUGACAUCUGUCAUGACUCGCCCCGUGUGGCGUGCUACCUCUUUUAG
Molecule: ribosomal RNA, 309 nt
Filed under: Triticum aestivum (bread wheat)
Lineage: Eukaryota; Viridiplantae; Streptophyta; Magnoliopsida; Poales; Poaceae
Description: partial small subunit ribosomal RNA
Source: RNAcentral